ACUUUCUCGGAAACGGAGUCGAUCUACAAUGCUGCCUUGACCUGGAGUAGAAUCGAAGGUUUCAGAUCGCAAAAACCGAGGCAAAAACUUAAUAUCAUCUCGUUCCCUGCA
Molecule: long non-coding RNA, 111 nt
Organism: Aedes albopictus (Asian tiger mosquito)
Lineage: Eukaryota; Metazoa; Arthropoda; Insecta; Diptera; Culicidae
Exons: 2
Source: RefSeq, a predicted model, not a curated record